GAACUCCUCCUCCCUGCCCGCCUUUGCGCAGGGCCGGACUCUUCGGAAACUGAAAUCACGGGCCGCCCGGCCCCCACCAGUCCUCGUGGGAUCCGGCCCGGGUUAACCUUCUAUGGGGAGGCCCAGGAGGGCCGGGCGGAGCGCCGGGGCGGGCGUGCGCUGACGUGGCGAGCGGCUCCCUCCACCCGCUCCUCCCGCGGGCACUGCCGAGGCCCAUGGGCGGGAAGCCGGGCGGCGGGCGGGACGUGGCCUCGGUCCCGGCCCUGCCCCGCCCCGCCGCCACUGAGACUCCCAGCGCCACCAACGUCGGAGUUGCAGUUUCUUUAGCUGUCAUAUGCAGACAAGUACUACCCACCUCGCCUUUGGAGUGAGCAGCAUCCCUGUGCCCAUCCUGCUGUGAUUCAGGAGUCUCGCAGAAGACAUCAGAAUGCCUUUCUCUGAGUCACAGUCUGUAUCUUCUAGAAAAGGCUGUCCAUCUUCACCCCAAGCCCACUGGCUCCUGAGAUACGACAUCCAGACCCAGUGCAGCUGGACCUGGCCCAGGAAAAGAAAUACAAGUCCUUCCGCCUUGGCAAAGAUGAUAGUACCGUUCCCUUCAGUGUUCCGGUUCUGCUCUAUUGGAUAAGUUCCGGUUUGACUAUGACUACGUGAAAAUGUGGAACCAGACCUUCACCCCACAUUCCAGCUCCAGCUCUACCACAGAGGAAGUGCAAUAUCACCUUAGUUAUUCAACACAUUAUGCUCCUCGUGAUACAACCAGAGUUCACAUCAGCAAUCUUGGCAGCUCUCACCACGCUGCUGACUCACGACUCUCUCAUGUCCCAAUUUCCUGUCCAUUGUUCUUUCCUCUACUUGGCCUGAUUUCUAAAGGCCUCUCUUGGUUGCAUUAAGCGGGAUUCCUGAGGGAUUCCCUUGGCAGUUACCUUGGGGGAGCUCUUAGGUUUGGGGCUGAUCCAUGUCCUCUAAAUGUAGGACUUCAAAGCUCCCAAAGAUAGGCAGGCCCAGUGGGAAGCUGGGAAAUGCUCUCUGACCCCUCUGGGAGGGCUGGCAGUCAGAGGGCCUUUUGGAAAGAGUCAGACCUGAUCCAUAAGUCCCUGGAAAACACCCUGCCCAGGGAGCAAAUGCCACUGUGGCCUUGACUGAGGCUUCAGAAGAGUUUGGGAGCUGCAAUUCAUCCACACACGCAUUCAUUUUCAAGUAGUGGUUUGCAGUUCAGGCUUUGGAGCCACAUAAGCCUGGCUUCAAAGCCACUUUCCAGCUUUGUAGGAAGUCUCUACAUUUUUAAACCUCCAUUUUUUUUUCCUGUAAAACUGGGGUCUUCAUGGUACUUAACUUCAUCGUGAUGUUGAGAGAAUGAAAAGAAAAAGGAUAAAUAAAUGGCUUAGCCUCGUGCCUUGGCACAUAUUGUGAUUGUUUCUUCACGUCUUUGUUCUCCUGGUGAAGCAUUUAUUCAGCAAGUGUUCACCAAGAGGCUGCCGGGGCAGCUGGGCGCUGUGGCGGAAAGAACACAGAUGCUAAUAAAAGCCUGAGCACAGGAUCAGGCUCUGUGGGUAAAGAUGCUCCAGUGGACCAGCUGAACACUUUACAGGAGACUCGUUCUGGCUCUGCAUUUGGACGGCUGAGCUCCCACCCACUUCAUCCCCCACCCGCAGCACACACACCAGCUUCUGGGCCAUUUCUGAGUUGGGAGCUUCUCAGAUUACGCUCAGUGUGACCUUGGGCAAAUCCCAUCACUCAUCUCAGCCUCUGGCAUAUUUCCUAUAAAACAGAGAUAAUAAUACCCACCAUACCAAGUUUUUGUAGUAGAUUAACCAACAGCAAAUGUGAAGUGCCCAGCGAAGCCCAGCAUGUGGUUGAUGCUCCACAACUUCUAGCUCCAUUCCCCCCACCACACCUUCCAUAACCGUGUGCCAAGCUUGGGCUAGAUGCUGGUGGUCAACAGAUUAAAAGAAGCUAGACCUGCCUGCAGGGAAUUUAAACUUUAAUGGGGGAAAUAAACAUUUGAACUUCUAUCCCAGAGAAAGAGCGCUAAGG
This 2034-nucleotide long non-coding RNA is filed under the name Homo sapiens (human). RNAcentral describes it as "HSALNT0292520". The record is from RNAcentral. Lineage: Eukaryota; Metazoa; Chordata; Mammalia; Primates; Hominidae.